UACGGAGGGUGCAAGCGUUAUCCGGAUUUACUGGGUUUAAAGGGUCCGCAGGCGGGACGGUAAGUCAGUGGUGAAAGCCUGAAGCUUAACUUCAGAACUGCCAUUGAUACUGCCAUUCUUGAGAAUAGUUGAGGUAGGCGGAAUACAGCAUGUAGCGGUGAAAUGCGUAGAUAUGCUGUAGAACACCGAUUGCGAAGGCAGCUUACUAAGCUAUAUCUGACGCUAAGGGACGAAAGCGUGGGGAGCGAACAGG
Molecule: ribosomal RNA, 253 nt
Filed under: uncultured bacterium
Lineage: Bacteria
Description: partial 16S ribosomal RNA
Rfam family: Bacterial small subunit ribosomal RNA
Source: RNAcentral